This is a small nucleolar RNA of Dioscorea cayenensis subsp. rotundata (Guinea yam), 183 nucleotides long. RefSeq annotates it as small nucleolar RNA Z112. The transcript has a single exon. The record is from RefSeq and is a predicted model, not a curated record. Lineage: Eukaryota; Viridiplantae; Streptophyta; Magnoliopsida; Dioscoreales; Dioscoreaceae.
AACUCUGUGAUGAGGAAACGACCUCAAGAUAGGAAGUGCCGUAUGACACUUAUACAGCAGCUGCUCUCAUGCCAGCCCAAGACCUUCUUUUAUCUCUCUAUCCAUGUGUUAGAGGUAAAGAUUGGUUCUUUGUGGGUGGUAUGGUCAGUUGUGCGUGUGAUUUUAAACGGGUCUCUGAGAAUU